Molecule: ribosomal RNA, 265 nt
Filed under: uncultured bacterium
Lineage: Bacteria
Description: partial 16S ribosomal RNA
Rfam family: Bacterial small subunit ribosomal RNA
Source: RNAcentral
GUCCUAGCCCUAAACGGUGCUUGCUUGCUGUAAGAGGAAUCGACCCCUCUUGUGGCGGAGCUAACGCGUUAAGCAAGCCGCCUGGGAAGUACGGUCGCAAGAUUAAAACUCAAAGAAAUUGACGGGGCCUGCACAAGCGGUGGAGUAUGUGGCUUAAUUCGAUGCAACGCGAAGAACCUUACCUGGCCUUGACAUGCAAGUAGUAGAACCCUGAAAGGGGACGAGGUAGCAAUACCAGCUUGCACAGGUGCUGCAUGGCUGUCGU